GGGAGCUACCUGUUGCUGGCGCCUGCAUUGAAUUGGAGUCAGUUCUCUUGCCAUUAUAUAAACUGGAACAAGAAUUCCAACAGUCCUCGACAAUAGCAGCUGUUUGUCAGAGUGGGUUAGCCUGAUUUUUUUGGUGAGGCAUUGAAAAAGGAUUUCUAUGAGGAUCUAUUUGAGGAGCUGAGCAAGUAGAGAGAGAUUGAGAGUCUUAAUAUCUGCGUCAAUUUGGCUGACCACCUGGUGGGUAAUGUAUAUUUCCAUCAGCUGCACAUGGUAUUCUUCCAUCUGUGUUAACCAACUUUAGACAAUUUUAUUUGUUUUUUCUUACAAAGAGAAUGCUGAUGGAGAUAUUUAACUGUUACAUAUUCAGCACUACCGCCACUCCUGGA
Molecule: long non-coding RNA, 386 nt
Organism: Magnolia sinica
Lineage: Eukaryota; Viridiplantae; Streptophyta; Magnoliopsida; Magnoliales; Magnoliaceae
Exons: 3
Source: RefSeq, a predicted model, not a curated record